This 65-nucleotide transfer RNA is filed under the name Panchlora nivea. RNAcentral describes it as "tRNA-Pro". Lineage: Eukaryota; Metazoa; Arthropoda; Insecta; Blattodea; Blaberidae. The record is from RNAcentral.
UCAGGGAAUAGUUUAUUUAAAAUAUUAAUUUUGGAAUUAAUGAAAAGGUUUAAAAUUCUCUCUGA